CUCCUCGUAGCCUUGCGCGCUGUGCAGCACGAGCACGGCCAUCAACACGACUGCGAGCAGCUUCAUGGUGUGGCCUGCAAGACAUCGCGAAACAUCCUCGUACAGGAUGUUACCAGUGAUGGUGAUUGGAGAGAGUGUUCCAGGAACAUCAAUGCUUGCUUGUGAUGGCUGCUUCAACGUCUAAAUAACCACAGCUGAAAUGAUGACCGAACACGAGUACCUAUUGCUUCAGCAGCAGAAAAAUAAACAGACUGCCAAAAGAAAAAAUAUACAUAUAUAUCAGCAAGAAUAUAGGAAAUGUUGGGAGACCGAACCGGAACUUUAAGGUUAGUAAACAUGUAUUCUUUAAACCGAGUUUAAAUUUGUACAUAGUAUAUAUAGUUGUAGAUACUGAAUGUUAUUUUUCAAAAUUAUUAUGCUCUGUUUGGGCAGAAAAAUAGGAAAAUUUUAACACGCAUUUGUCUAUAUUGAAUGUGAAAAACGAGGUUCCAGAGAGAAUAAUUUUAGCUUUCAAACAGGGUGUACAAUGAAAACUAGGGGUUUAUUAAUCGUUAUCUAGGGGGAUUUCAAAUUGGUCCUAGGAGGAACACCCUGUAAGCAGUUGGCAUCACUGAGUCUGAUGCGCACCGGCUUACGGUGCGAGGGUUGCUGAGUUGGAGUCCCGGCUAAGGCAUUGGUUUUAAUUUACGUACAGAUAUUUGAUCAAUGAUAUGAUAAUGAAAAAGGCUUUGAAUGCGAAAUGAAAUGACCUUAUGGCCAUUGGCGCACUGCCUAAACCCACGGUAUGCUAAACACCAUCUAUCGCAUUUCUACUUCAUUGGAAUUUUCAAGAUUGGUAUAAUCUAGAGUACAUUAUUAAAACGUAGUUUCCAUUAUUGUGUGAAUAGUCUGUCAUUGGGUAACAACAAAAUCUUCUAAAAUACAAUUCUAUUACUACACAUGCCAUGCCAUGGAUAAUCUUAAACAAACUAACAGAAUAUGUGUACAAAUUAUAUCAUGUACGGUUGUUAGUUGCCACUAUUUCCAAUUUUGUACAGACCUGUAGCUCAUGAGCAGGAUAAGACAGGAAGCAGUAAAUCACAUGUAGUCAAGCUUUAAGUUUUUUUUUUAUUAUUAUUAAGUGGGUCCAUAUACGCGGUGUAAUUUUUUCCAUGGCAUUUUGAGGUUUUGUUGUCUCGAACUCAUUAAGCAGAACAUUAGUGCAAUAUGACAUACAGUAGAAUCCCGCCGAUGCGACCCCCUGUGAUGCGUCCAUUCCGCUUAUACAACCGUUUUUUGAGAAACCGUGAAAAAUUUGAGCAGAGAAAGUCGAAAAUUUGAGUAAAAUCGGCCGAAAAACAAGUCUGUUACACUUUGUUGGGCGCUAUGUGUUAACAUUUAUCUUGGCGAGCGCUGUACUGUAAGCAGGCAGGCAUACAGAAGACGGCUAAAAAUAGAUACCACCCCUCUAUAGAUUGUCCACGCUAGCCAAUAAUGGUAAACUGUGUGCAUCACCUGAUAGCAUCUACGCGUGCGUCUAUUGCCAUCCUGGUCCCGUGCCAUUGUCUUGCGACUGGUUAGUGUGAUCUUGCCAGCUGCAUCUCAGGUGUCACUUCCCACACAAAUCAGUGUUCACUGUGUUAACGACGUCGCCAAAUGUUUGGUUCUCGGCUAUUCUUCUAUAACAUCGCUGACUUCGCACAUGCGCAGAUAAACAAAAACAAAAUUGAGUGGAAUUAUGCUGUACACCUCGGACUCGCAUACCCCAAACAAUCGGUUCCGAUAAAUACUCGCGCUAAGUAAAUUCGCGUCACGCGAGUUCGGCUAUGCUAGCCGUCUUGUGGUUAUUUUCGUUCAAAACGUGGCGAAGGAACUUGUGUGGAUCAGGUAGAAAACAUUCGGCAAUAAACGAAAGAUAUAAGAACAAUUCUAUCCUGAAAUGCUGUGACAUUUUUUUGGAGUAGAUAAUCACAGCGACAGACAGACAGGAUGCGCUCCCGCCCUUGCUCUCAGCGAUGUUUAUUUUGACAGCUCAAGCAAUUAUCUUUUUCACGUCCCUUCACAGCGUAAAAAAAAAAGAAAAAAAAUACACGACCUGGCUUUAGUCGCACGCGGUGUGGGAGGGGAGGAGAAUACUGAUAGUUUCUCACGCAGAAGGUUGAAAAGGGAGGGAAUGUGUUGAAAUGUUAGCUGGAAAAAAAAGGGGGGGGGGGUGUUUUUACAUGGUUUGUGGCUCUGUG
Long non-coding RNA from Bacillus rossius redtenbacheri, 2219 nucleotides. RefSeq lists it as uncharacterized. The record is from RefSeq and is a predicted model, not a curated record. Lineage: Eukaryota; Metazoa; Arthropoda; Insecta; Phasmatodea; Bacillidae. The transcript is spliced from 3 exons.